UCACUACUUGCGUAGGCAGUCCACGCCGUAAACGAUGGAUACUAGCUGUUGGAGGUAUCGACCCCUUCAGUAGCGAAGCUAACGCGUUAAGUAUCCCGCCUGUGGAGUACGGUCGCAAGACUAAAACAUAAAGGAAUUGACGGGGACCCGCACAAGUAGCGGAUCAUGUUCUUUAAUUCGAUGAUAACCGAAGAACCUUACCAGGGUUUGACAUCCUUGGAAUUACUCCGAAAGGAGUGAGUGCUUUAUUGAGCCAAGUGACAGAUGAUGCAUGGCCGUCGUCAGCUCGUGUCGUGAGAUGUUAGGUUAAGUCCUUUAACGAGCGCAACCCUUGUGAAUAGUUGUAUUUUUCUAUUCAGACUGCCCCGGUAACGGGGAGGAAGGUGGGGAUGACGUUACG
RNAcentral lists this unclassified non-coding RNA (400 nucleotides) under uncultured bacterium. RNAcentral's name for it is "contains 16S-23S intergenic spacer region". It matches the Rfam family "Bacterial small subunit ribosomal RNA", at positions 775 to 1189 of the family's 1533-position model. The record is from RNAcentral.